GAUGAACGCUAGCGGCAGGCCUAACACAUGCAAGUCGAGGGAGGAGCUUUCGGGCUUCGACCGGCGUACGGGUGCGUAACGCGUAUACAAUCUGCCUUUCACAUAGGGAUAGCCCGAAGAAAUUUGGAUUAAUACCUAAUGGUAUAUAGGAGUGGCAUCACAUUUAUAUUAAAGCUGAGGCGGUGAAAGAUGAGUAUGCGUUCUAUUAGCUAGUUGGAGAAGUAACGGCUCCCCAAGGCGACGAUAGAUAGGGGUUCUGAGAGGGAUAUCCCCCACACUGGUACUGAGAUACGGACCAGACUCCUACGGGAGGCAGCAGUGAGGAAUAUUGGACAAUGGUCGGAAGACUGAUCCAGCCAUGCCGCGUGCAGGAAGACGGCCUUAUGGGUUGUAAACUGCUUUUGCAGGGGAAGAAUAAGGACUACGAGUAGUUUGAUGACGGUACUCUGCGAAUAAGCAUCGGCUAACUCCGUG
RNAcentral lists this ribosomal RNA (474 nucleotides) under uncultured bacterium. Its description in RNAcentral is "partial 16S ribosomal RNA". It matches the Rfam family "Bacterial small subunit ribosomal RNA", at positions 28 to 507 of the family's 1533-position model. The record is from RNAcentral.